Nannospalax galili (Upper Galilee mountains blind mole rat) is the source of this 690-nucleotide long non-coding RNA. RefSeq lists it as uncharacterized. The transcript has 6 exons. The record is from RefSeq and is a predicted model, not a curated record. Lineage: Eukaryota; Metazoa; Chordata; Mammalia; Rodentia; Spalacidae.
UACAGUGAGAGGUUAGUCGGGAGUAGGAGAGGGCGACCGAGCGCGAUGACGGGCUCGUAGAGUGAGUCGGGGGCUUCUGUGCGAUGGAACCACCCCAGAGAUUUGAGCUUAUGGUGUUGUCGAAAGCUUCCGCGGGGAAGACGCUUUAUGUGCUGUUUUGAUCAAUGACUGGAAAGGAAUCCGUGCCCCUAAAAAGGCUGUUUGAUCGCAAACCCAGUCCCCUUCCAGGAACAAUGGCACCAUGCUUCUCCAGGCCGUGGGAGCAGCGGCGCACAGAGGCCAAGGAGAAAGGCCUAAGCCAUCGGAGGAAAUGCUUAACGGAAACUUUCUUGUUUAAAACCUGACUUCCCAGUGAAGAGCUUCCAGGAUUCUGAAUACUGAGACCAUGAAGUCCACACAGGCACUUAAUUUUGAAUGGGAUGCCAACCCAUUGGAAUGCCAGCGGCCCAUCAGAAACUUAAAGAAUGGCCAGUGACAAGACCUGUAUGUGAUAAACAUCAAGAAAAUGCUAACAUAAGAAAAGUAAAAUUUUGGGAUAGCAUGGUGCAUACAUAGAUGUCAGCACGUAAUCCAUGUGUGUGGCUUUCUUUGUGACAGUCUUUAGCUCCGGCUGGCCUGGAACUAGCCAUGUAGACCACAGAAAUCCAUGUGCCUACUAGGUGCUGGAAUUAAAGGCAUGCACCACCACAA